This is a long non-coding RNA of Leguminivora glycinivorella, 337 nucleotides long. RefSeq lists it as uncharacterized. The transcript is spliced from 3 exons. The record is from RefSeq and is a predicted model, not a curated record. NCBI's taxonomy places the organism in Eukaryota, Metazoa, Arthropoda, Insecta, Lepidoptera, Tortricidae.
GUGGAAAGGCAAUGUUUUAAAAACCAAAUAUUUACCGCUUUUAUUAACGGACUGUGCAAAUUUAUAGUACACCAUGGCUAUCAACUUACGGAUCAGUGUUAUCUCUUUAGGAAUUCUGCUAUUAAUGUUUUAUGUUUCAGGAUCUGAAUGUAAACCAAUUCAGAAUACCUUUGGUUCAAUUACACAUUUUAGUGAUAAAGAACCAAAUGGAUACACGCAAUAUUUCCGAAAGGCACUCAUGGAUGCAAGCCACGUUUUAGACAAUAUGAUACAAAAGGGCAAAAUGACCAUAAUGGAAUUACCGUUCCAAGGCUGGGUUGUGUGACCGAUUUGUAAC